RNAcentral lists this microRNA precursor (59 nucleotides) under Heligmosomoides polygyrus. Its description in RNAcentral is "microRNA hpo-mir-10033 precursor". The record is from miRBase by way of RNAcentral. Lineage: Eukaryota; Metazoa; Nematoda; Chromadorea; Rhabditida; Heligmosomidae.
GGAUGGAUCUAAAUGAUGCAAAAACGGAAUUAUUUUUUGCGUCAUUCAGAUCCAUCCGA